Molecule: ribosomal RNA, 496 nt
Filed under: uncultured bacterium
Lineage: Bacteria
Description: partial 16S ribosomal RNA
Rfam family: Bacterial small subunit ribosomal RNA
Source: RNAcentral
GAUGAACGCUGGCGGCGUGCCUAAUACAUGCAAGUCGAGCGAACGGACGAGAAGCUUGCUUCUCUGAUGUUAGCGGCGGACGGGUGAGUACCCGUGGGUAACCUACCUAUAAGACUGGGAUAACUUCGGGAAACCGGGGCUAAUACCGGAUAAUAUUUUGAACCGCAUGGUUCAAAAGUGAAAGACGGUCUUGCCGUCACUUAUAGGUGGAUCCGCGCUGCAUUAGCUAGUUGGUAAGGUAACGGCUUACCAAGGCAACGAUGCAUAGCCGACCUGAGAGGGUGAUCGGCCACACUGGAACUGAGACACGGUCCAGACUCCUACGGGAGGCAGCAGUAGGGAAUCUUCCGCAAUGGGCGAAAGCCUGACGGAGCAACGCCGCGUGAGUGAUGAAGGUCUUCGGAUCGUAAAACUCUGUUAUUAGGGAAGAACAUAUGUGUAAGUAACUGUGCACAUCUUGACGGUACCUAAUCAGAAAGCCACGGCUAACUACGUG